GACGAACGCUGGCGGCGUGCCUAAUACAUGCAAGUCGAACGCAUUUUCUUUCACCGUAGCUUGCUACACCGAAAGAAAAUGAGUGGCGAACGGGUGAGUAACACGUGGGUAACCUGCCCAUCAGCGGGGGAUAACACUUGGAAACAGGUGCUAAUACCGCAUAAUUCCAUUUACCGCAUGGUAGAUGGAUGAAAGGCGCUUUUGCGUCACUGAUGGAUGGACCCGCGGUGCAUUAGCUAGUUGGUGGGGUAACGGCCUACCAAGGCUGCGAUGCAUAGCCGACCUGAGAGGGUGAUCGGCCACACUGGGACUGCGACACGGCCCAGACUCCUACGGGAGGCAGCAGUAGGGAAUCUUCGGCAAUGGACACAAGUCUGACCGAGCAACGCCGCGUGAGUGAAGAAGGUUUUCGGAUCGUAAAACUCUGUUGUUAGAGAAGAACAAGGAUGAGAGUGGAAAGUUCAUCCCUUGACGGUAUCUAACCAGAAAGCCACGGCUAACUACGUG
Molecule: ribosomal RNA, 507 nt
Filed under: uncultured bacterium
Lineage: Bacteria
Description: partial 16S ribosomal RNA
Rfam family: Bacterial small subunit ribosomal RNA
Source: RNAcentral